CCAUCGUGACCUACCCCCACAAGCCACAACGCCUCCUCCCUCCUCCCCUUUCUUCCACCUCCGCCGCCGGCCUAUAUGCCGGCCAACUCCGGCCACUCCCUACCCCGCCAACCAUCUUCCCGGAACUCCAUCGUACCCCCUCUCUAUCCUACCUCGUGGAACCACCAAACCAAAUCUCCAACAGAAACCCUAGCCGGUAUCCUACCUGUACAGAGAGGAGAAGGUGGUCCAUGGCGACGGCGGCAGAUGCGGCCGUCCUACAAGCCCCAGCCUUCACCGACGUCGGCUGUUCCAGGUGGAGUACGCCAUGGAGGUCGUCAAGCAGGGCUUCGCCUACAUCGGCCUCCGCUUCGCUACCCACGCCGUCCACACCGCUAUCGCAUCACACCAGCAGCAAGCCGACCAUGCUGAGUUCCCCUCGUCGGACAUACAAGUCAGCCUCGAGGUGGCCGCCGGUGCACAACCCAAGAAGACGACGCUCCGCAAGUUCAGCUACCGUGGCGUGGUCGUUGAUGCCCUCCUCGACAUGUCCAUGGACUACCUCUUCCAGAUGUCCUGACCCACGCCCGCAGUAGACCUGAUGGAGCCAUGAUGCUUACAUGUGUGCUGGAGCGCAUAAACCUUGCCCAUGGUGACACAU
Non-coding RNA from Lolium perenne, 640 nucleotides. Lineage: Eukaryota; Viridiplantae; Streptophyta; Magnoliopsida; Poales; Poaceae. The record is from RefSeq and is a predicted model, not a curated record.